Molecule: ribosomal RNA, 433 nt
Filed under: uncultured bacterium
Lineage: Bacteria
Description: bacterial SSU rRNA
Rfam family: Bacterial small subunit ribosomal RNA
Source: RNAcentral
GAACGCGAAGAACCUUACCAGGUCUUGACAUCCCGAUGCUAUUUCUAGAGAUAGAAAGUUACUUCGGUACAUCGGUGACAGGUGGUGCAUGGUUGUCGUCAGCUCGUGUCGUGAGAUGUUGGGUUAAGUCCCGCAACGAGCGCAACCCCUAUUGUUAGUUGCCAUCAUUCAGUUGGGCACUCUAGCGGGACUGCCGGUAAUAAACCGGAGGAAGGUGGGGAUGACGUCAAAUCAUCAUGCCCCUUAUGACCUGGGCUACACACGUGCUACAAUGGUUGGUACAACGAGUUGCGAGUCGGUGACGGCGAGCUAAUCUCUUAAAGCCAAUCUCAGUUCGGAUUGUAGGCUGCAACUCGCCUACAUGAAGUCGGAAUCGCUAGUAAUCGCGGAUCAGCACGCCGCGGUGAAUACGUUCCCGGGUCUUGUACACACC